CAAUAGCGUAUAUUUAAGUUGUUGCAGUUAAAAAGCUCGUAGUUGGAUUUCUGGUGGGAGCGGUUGGUCUGCCCCGCGAGGGGUAGUAACUGAGCCGUAUCCGGCCCUUUUCGGGUUGAUCGUGGUUGGCAUUAAUUUGUCGGUGCGGGAGGCCCGUCGUUUACUGUGAACAAAUUAGAGUGUUCAAAGCAAAGUGUUUUUGAAUAUAUCAGCAUGGAAUAAUGAGAUAGGACUUUGGUGGUUCGUGCUCUCGGGUACGAUAUUUUGUUGGUUUGCACGCCAAAGUAAUGAUUAAUAGGAGCAGUUGGGGGUAUUCGUAUUCAAUUGUCAGAGGUGAAAUUCUUGGAUUUCUAGAAGACGAACUACUGCGAAAGCAUUUACCAAGGAUGUUUUCAUUAA
RNAcentral lists this ribosomal RNA (399 nucleotides) under uncultured eukaryote. RNAcentral's name for it is "partial 18S ribosomal RNA". It matches the Rfam family "Eukaryotic small subunit ribosomal RNA", at positions 592 to 976 of the family's 1831-position model. The record is from RNAcentral.